CUGGCUCAGGACGAACGCUGGCGGCGUGCCUAAUACAUGCAAGUCGAGCGGGUCUCUUCGGAGGCCAGCGGCGGACGGGUGAGGAACACGUGGGUAAUCUGCCUUUCAGGCCGGAAUAACGCCCGGAAACGGGCGCUAAUGCCGGAUACGCCCGCGAGGAGGCAUCUUCUUGCGGGGGAAGGCCCAACUGGGCCGCUGAGAGAGGAGCCCGCGGCGCAUUAGCUAGUUGGCGGGGUAACGGCCCACCAAGGCGACGAUGCGUAGCCGACCUGAGAGGGUGACCGGCCACACUGGGACUGAGACACGGCCCAGACUCCUACGGGAGGCAGCAGUAGGGAAUCUUCCGCAAUGGGCGCAAGCCUGACGGAGCAACGCCGCGUGAGCGAAGAAGGCCUUCGGGUUGUAAAGCUCUGUUGCUCGGGGAGAGCGGCAUGGGGGAUGGAAAGCCCCAUGCGAGACGGUACCGA
This 467-nucleotide ribosomal RNA is filed under the name Alicyclobacillus acidocaldarius. RNAcentral describes it as "bacterial SSU rRNA". It matches the Rfam family "Bacterial small subunit ribosomal RNA", at positions 19 to 481 of the family's 1533-position model. Lineage: Bacteria; Bacillati; Bacillota; Bacilli; Caryophanales; Alicyclobacillaceae. The record is from RNAcentral.